This is a long non-coding RNA of Pteropus alecto (black flying fox), 2138 nucleotides long. RefSeq lists it as uncharacterized. The transcript is spliced from 2 exons. The record is from RefSeq and is a predicted model, not a curated record. Lineage: Eukaryota; Metazoa; Chordata; Mammalia; Chiroptera; Pteropodidae.
UAAAGUUCACCAAAUCAUUUAUUAUAAUACAGUCUCAUUCUCUAUUAACAAAUGGUACAGCAGUCAGAGAUGAAAAUAAGAUAUGCAGCAUCAUUUCCCAGUCCACUAAUAAAAUAAGGCUGCUCAAUUACCCAAGUGAACCAAGGAAAGCUAUAAUAAAAUUCUGUAAGUUUGAGUUAGAAAAAAAUGGGUCAUGUAGUUAGUGAACAAAGACUUCCCUUUUAGCUAUUAGCUUGUUUUAGUGUACUUGCAGGAAAAGCAGUAAAUUUAUUAUUCCGCCAAUGUUUUUGAAAUUAAAAUUCUAUGAGAAAGUGAAAUCAAGGUUUUUGAAAGCAAUUAAAAAUUAUUUAAAAUUGUUUUCUUCUAUAAGGUGUGUCUACAAAUACUUAAAUGUAGAAUUGAAGAGAUUUUUCCCUAGAUACAUGCUCCCUCUUUUUUAGAGUAAACAGAAUUUUCAUGUAAUACAUUGAAAUAUAUAGUUUAUUAAAAUUGAGCUGUGUCCAAGAGAUAUGUAGUGCUAUUAAUUCUCAUAAGGUCACUUAAAUAACAGUCAAUGUAAAGUAAUUUUUUUUAAGACAGGGAAAAAAUUUUUAAUGUAUUAAUGUCAGGCUCUGAGGAAAUUUAAUGCACAUUGACUUUUUAAAGUAUGGAUUGAACUCCUCCUCAGUUUAAUACAAUUUGUGUUUUUGUUAACUAGCAGCAGAAUUUCAGCAUUUGCUACUUACUGGUAGAGAAGAAAAAUCCCACAGCCCUGCCAGUACAGUUUAAUCUGUAUAAGAAAUGGCGUAGAUACAGUGAAAAUGGUUUUCCUUAAAACCAUCUCUUUAAAGCUGCUUUUCUGGUGAGUACUAUUUUAUACUUUUAUAUAUUACAGUUUUUCCUUUUAAAUUUAACUGGAAUGGGGACACUUAUCAAAGAGUGAGCAAUCUGAAUUUCUACACUCUUUUUAGAUAUUAACCGGAUUGGGAAUAUUAAGAAUAAGAAAGUGAUUAUUUUACCUCCUUAAAUUUCCCUGGCGAUCUAGGUUCACCUUUUUUUCUGAUUUUCACUUCACAGAUUAUAACUACAAAAUCUUUUAACACAUAAAUUAUUUUCUUUUGGCGAAAUCGAAAAGGUUUUAUAAAAGGCUAGCUUUUAUAAUUGUUUUAAGCUUAAAAUUUUAGUUGGUAGCCGAAAGAUUUUUUCCUAUGCUUUUUGGUUCCCACAUUGCAUGGGCCUAAUAAUUAAAUACCAGAAUUCCUGUUUAUUUUCUUGUUUGAAGCUGUUGUUGUAGUGAUUUGUGAGCAGUUAAACUGAGGGUGGGGUUGCAGGAGGGCUAGCCUUAAAAAUAUGGUUAUGCAGGCUAAUUGCUUACAGGGUUCUCUUUGAGUGGGGCUUGAAAAUUUCCAGUGUGUUCUUUAAAAACUUUUUUAUUUUUAAAUUACAGUUGAUGUUCAGUAUUUUAUAUUAGUUUCAAGUGUACACUAUAGUGGUUAGACAUUUAUGUAAUUUAUGAAGUCCUAUUCUUCCUGGUACGUCUUUCAGUGUAUUCUUAAAUCACUAACUUUGCAUGAAAAGCUUGGAUUAGAAAUACUGGUUUCUGAGACACUGUAUACAAGUGAAAAUUAGCCUCUGAAUAAAUUUUUAGUUACUUAUGCCCUGUUUAAUACCUUCCCCCAGUGUAACACAUGGAUUUUUUCUCCCUCUAGUUUUUAGCCAUAUUCUAGCUAAUGUCACAUUGUAUCAGUUGCUGAUCUUUGUAAACCAAUAAUGAACAGUGGACUCUAAUGCUUUUAAGUAUAAACAAUGAUAGUGUUCUAAAAUCUGAAAGUUGAUAUCUGAGUAUGUGAUAAUGGUGAUGUAUUCUUAUACAUAAGCACUAAACAAAAUAUGGACCCUCAAUUUAUGUCUUUAAGAUUUAAGGUGAAGUAAAUUUCUAAGGAACUCUGUCCUUUCCUAGCAAGGACAAGCAGACAUUGAAAAUUUGGUAAGUAUUUAACUUUAAAUGCAUGUGAUAGUGAAGAGAGUGAGUAGCCAAAUUUCCAUGGUUUAAGAUAUUAAGACAUGAACAAGAAUUCUUGAGUCUCCUUUGCGACCUAAAACGUGUCUAGCAGUUUUAUAAAUUUGUGUGCACAGUGAUUAAAUUGAAAUGUACCUUA